CCUACGGGAGGCAGCAGUGGGGAAUUUUGGACAAUGGGCGAAAGCCUGAUCCAGCAAUGCCGCGUGAGUGGAGAAGGCCUUCGGGUUGUAAAGCUCUUUUGUCAGGGAAGAAACGGUGAGGGCUAAUAUCUCUUGCUAAUGACGGUACCUGAAGAAUAAGCACCGGCUAACUACGUGCCAGCAGCCGCGGUAAUACGUAGGGUGCAAGCGUUAAUCGGAAUUACUGGGCGUAAAGCGUGCGCAGGCGGUUUUGUAAGUCUGUCGUGAAAUCCCCGGGCUCAACCUGGGAAUUGCGAUGGAGACUGCAAGGCUAGAAUCUGGCAGAGGGGGGUAGAAUUCCACGUGUAGCAGUGAAAUGCGUAGAGAUGUGGAGGAACACCGAUGGCGAAGGCAGCCCCCUGGGUCAAGAUUGACGCUCAUGCACGAAAGCGUGGGGAGCAAACAGGAUUAGAUACCCUGGUAGUCCACGCCCUAAACGAUGUCUACUAGUGUCGGUUUUAAUUACGUUGGUAACGCAGCUACGCGUGAGUAGACGCCGNGGAGGACGGUCGUCGAGAGUUAAACGUUACGUAAGAAGUUAGAGGNGNGAGAGNGCGACGGACGACGACGAGGAGGAGG
Molecule: ribosomal RNA, 618 nt
Filed under: uncultured bacterium
Lineage: Bacteria
Description: bacterial SSU rRNA
Rfam family: Bacterial small subunit ribosomal RNA (bases 1-537)
Source: RNAcentral